RNAcentral lists this long non-coding RNA (933 nucleotides) under Homo sapiens (human). Its description in RNAcentral is "HSALNT0402088". The record is from RNAcentral. Lineage: Eukaryota; Metazoa; Chordata; Mammalia; Primates; Hominidae.
GCUAGGCCUGGAAGACCACGAGGACCGCUAGCGCCGUGGGGUCACUCUUCCUCAUGCCACAGGUUGCCGAGCCUCGGGGGAGAGGUGGGGUCCCAGGGGCCAACCCUUGGGUGUGUUGAUGGCGGCAGGCUAACCCAGCCAACGGGGUGCCACUGCCGGGCAAGUGACUGGCUACCAGACUCUGAAAAACCUAAGUCCUUUAGGGAAGACCACAAAAGCAUCCAACCACAGUCUGCGCUGCAGCCCGGCAGAACUAAGUCUUGGGCGCCGCGACGCCUUUCCUACGGAAUAGGUCCUGGAAGGAAGACCAUUUAAGGACUGGCGAGGAGAGCACGCCUUCCCUUCCGAAGGUGCGUUACCAGAUUGCUGCCGUUUUUGUGCUGGGUCAUCAGAGCAGAUUCCCCUCCAGGUUACAGAUUAAACUUAACUCUACCCGUGCUGAAAAUGGCCGGAGCACGCCGCCUCGCCUCCCCUCCCCAAGGCUGCCGGAGCCGCCGGCCCCUGCCUCCUUUUCGACGACUGAUCGUCCAAGGACUGGCGCCGGAUCCAACACCUUUCCCCAGCUCUGCGCGUACCGCGCUCUUUGGAAACGAAUUGGUCCCUGUCUGCUUCCAAGGGUCCCUGGAACCUUCUGCAGCUGUGCCUCUCCAGAGCUCCGCCUCAUUAGUGCCACGUUCCUGGUUUGAAAACCAUAGUACUUCAACCUCUUCUAGAUGGGAGUUAACCUUUGCCCUCUGAAAGAAAGGUUUGAUAAGCAAAGAGAGUUUGGUGAGCAAGAUCCUUGAGGUAAGAGCUGAUCUCUGACGUCCGCUGGGAACUGGCUGCUCUGCAGGUUUCUGUAUCACAUUUUCUGCACAUGUCCAUUAGAAUUGGAGAUGGGGCGUAUCUAGUGUUGAAUAAAGGCCCGGCAGGCCCUCCCAGAUGCACCCUGUC